RNAcentral lists this ribosomal RNA (459 nucleotides) under uncultured bacterium. RNAcentral's name for it is "partial 16S ribosomal RNA". It matches the Rfam family "Bacterial small subunit ribosomal RNA", at positions 338 to 795 of the family's 1533-position model. The record is from RNAcentral.
CCUACGGGGGGCUGCAGUGAGGAAUAUUGGUCAAUGGGCGGGAGCCUGAACCAGCCAAGCCGCGUGAGGGAAGAAGGUACAGCGUAUCGUAAACCUCUUUUGUCAGGGAACAAAGGCGGGGACUAGUCCCCGGAUGAGGGUACCUGAAGAAAAAGCAUCGGCUAACUCCGUGCCAGCAGCCGCGGUAAUACGGAGGAUGCGAGCGUUAUCCGGAUUUAUUGGGUUUAAAGGGUGCGCAGGCGGUCUGUUAAGUCAGCGGUCAAAGCCCGGGGCUCAACCCCGGCCCGCCGUUGAAACUGGCAGUCUCGAGUUGGAGAGAAGUAUGCGGAAUGCGCGGUGUAGCGGUGAAAUGCAUAGAUAUCGCGCAGAACUCCGAUUGCGAAGGCAGCAUGCCGGCUCCACACUGACGCUGAGGCACGAAAGCGUGGGUAUCGAACAGGAUUAGAUACCCUUGUAGUC